CUAUUUGUAUUCCCCAUAAUUAACUUCAUUCCAAACAAACUAAAUAAAUAAAAACUCAUAUUUUCAUUCCACACAUCGACGAAAACCGAAGGUCCUUCUCUCUUUCUCUUCACUACUUUUCCCCUUUUAUUUUCUUUCUCUCUCAUUUUGCUUCUUUUCUCUUUUUGAUUCUUUCUUGCAUGCACUUUACUAUGAAAGAUUGAUUAAUGCUUGCAAAGCCAAUUUUUUCAGAACCCUAACCUUCUCUUCUCACAACAAAAAAGAAUCCAUUUAAAAAUACCAAUUAUUUGUUUAAUCAAUAUCAAUAUCAAGUUUAACAAUUUACCAAAACCAUAGCCAAAACCACUCACAAGAUGCUCGAAACGAUUAAAUACUUGAUCGGUUGGCCCGGUCUAAUAGGAUUUGGAUCCAAAUCCACCGCCGAACAAUUUACCGAAACCCACGGCGAACUUUGUUCAAUAACCGCCAUCAGAUGAAGGGCUGUGAUGAUUUGGAAACUUGAUUGGGGAUUUGAGUUUAGGAAACUGAAUUUGGUUUUGGUUGAUUGUGUCAGGGAACUUUGCUUCUUGCUUCCAUUGUUGUUGGUCUGCUUAGUUAUACUCACUCAACUCACUAAUAAUUAUAUUUAAAGGUAUGAAGUUUUUGUCAUCUUUAAAUUGAAAGAGCAUUGGGUGGUUGGUUCAAUAUAUUAUCAAGUGCAUGUUACUUUAAAACAAGUAUUCUUGAUACUAAUAUAUUAGCUUUACAAUGGUGUCACUUUUAUUAUGUUUCUAAUAUCUUAAUUUUGGUGAAAUCUUAUAGAUCAUUUGAUUUCUUUCUUCCCGUCUCUCUUCAACUACCAGUAAAGGAGCUUCGAAAUUCUUUAAUGUCUCCAAUGAAUGUGUUUCAGAUCAAU
Molecule: long non-coding RNA, 895 nt
Organism: Vicia villosa (hairy vetch)
Lineage: Eukaryota; Viridiplantae; Streptophyta; Magnoliopsida; Fabales; Fabaceae
Exons: 4
Source: RefSeq, a predicted model, not a curated record